This 109-nucleotide ribosomal RNA is filed under the name Candidatus Uhrbacteria bacterium. The record is from RNAcentral. Lineage: Bacteria; Candidatus Uhriibacteriota.
UCUGGUGCUACUUCCGGAGGGGCCACACCUGUUCCCAUCCCGAACACAGCCGUUAAGACCUCCUGGGCCGAUGGUAGUCCGAUAGGGCGAGAGUAGGUCAGCGCCAGAA